Patella vulgata (common limpet) is the source of this 1005-nucleotide long non-coding RNA. RefSeq lists it as uncharacterized. The record is from RefSeq and is a predicted model, not a curated record. Lineage: Eukaryota; Metazoa; Mollusca; Gastropoda; Patellidae. The transcript is spliced from 9 exons.
UCCAACCAUGAUUGAGGAUCCAGCUGUCUGAUUUAGUUUAUUUAUAGUUACAUAACAGCUGUUGACGUCCAUAUUGAGCAAUAAAUAUUGCUACAGACAAAUAUAGCUAAUAGCUUUUGUUUGCUCGUAAGUUGACUACAUAACGAAUAGUUAUAUAAAGGGAAAUAACACUUGUUAAUUGACCAGGAUAAGGACCACCAAUUAUUUGAGACUGCGGGAACACAGGCGAACGCUAUUGGUUUAGCUGUCGUGGCCUUUGUAUCAUGGCUGUUGGCAACCAAUCCGUCUGUUAGUAAUUUUUUGUCCGGAACUUUCAUUUUUACAUACACUCUAAUAUCCCUGGGUAUUCUUGUUUUUAUCAUUGGUCUAUUUGGUUGUAUUGGUGGUUGUACUGAAAGUCCCUGUCUCUUAAAAACAUAUAUUAGUUUUAUCACAGCCUUGUUUUUUCUAGAAGUUUGUACUAUUUUAGCUGCAUAUGUUCAAAAAGAUCAGAUCCCAAAGUAUACAGCUUCUGGGUGGAGAGAAUUUAACCAGGAAACCAGGGGAUUAAUACAAACAGAACUACGGUGUUGUGGUUAUAAUGAUUCAAAUGAAUAUUCAGUUACAUUAGAACAAUUACCAGACAGUUGUUUUCAGACGAGUAUACCCGGUACAAUAACAACUAAAUCAGAACAAACUGUAUUCAAGGAUGGCUGUUGGACUAAAAUAGAAGCCUGGAUAAACAGUAACACACCAAUCUGGGCGUCAACAUUAGCUAUUGUUUCUUUAGUACAGAUUGCCAGUAUGAUUACAUCAUGUUUAGUACUAGAAAAAGUUUCAAGAACAACAGGUCGAGUGUCGCCGCAUAAUGGUACCGCGGAACCAUCGGCUUUGGAUAAAGGGAGGGGGCCGGGGCCGGGAGGAAGUGGACCGAGUAGAGAAGGCAGAUUUUGAUUGACAUCGACGUAUUCUCAUUUUAAAGCUAGAUCUAUUAAUCGAAUGUUAAAUUCUCCGCAUCGUUUUUUU